UGGCGGGGAGACUUGAAGUACUCAUGAAUGUGUUUCCAUUCUCAUGAUGUCAAAGGUUUAUGCAAAUGGUCUUGAUGUCAGACCAAAAAGGUCGACAUAAUUGAUGUUGAACAUUUAGUGCACUAUUUCCUUACUGCUUGAUAAGAAAGUGACUUGGAAUGAUCUGAUUUUAUCCUUGACGACGCUGAAAGUUUUGCAUUUUAGCUUCAGUGAGCAUGUACUUGUUGUCAUUCUUACGACCUUGUGAUGAUAAAGUUCUGAGUACCUGCAGUCCAUCGUUGCAAAGCAAGCAUGUGGUGCAUCUCAUCCGUGGGGCUCGGCGAUAAAGAGGUUUCGAGUGAGAGCAUCCCAUUCUUUUCAAGGAACACGUACAUGGUUCCAUCCAGCUUGAUAAUAUUGACACAGGGAGUAGCCUUUUCUGACUUUGGUGAGCAAGUACUAGGCAUACGUCCACAAAAAUAUUUAUUCUCCGAUGGGAGAAUAAAAAUAUGAGUUGUUUGAUUCAUAAAAAUGGAAUUCAAUGUCCUAUCUUAUCAGCUUUGCGCAGCGUCACGAUAAAUUUAGUAUUUUGAUGUAGGAGUAUCAAAAUCAGGAGCCGUUUAUUUUUAGAAACUAGAAUCCUAUAGCUACGUCUUACGCAGAAAUCGCAAUCAGAUUGCACCCAAAUCGUCCCAGAUAUUGCCCUAAAAUCUAUCUUUUAAUCUCGGUUCGCUAGUUUCAUCAACUUUGCGCAUCGUCACGAUAAAUUAUAUAUCUUGACGUGAAAGUAUCGAAAUCAGGUUUUAUUUUUUGCACUGAAAAUUAGAUUCGCAGAGAUACGUCUCACAUGGAAACCACAAUUAUAUUGCAUCCGAAUCAUCCCAAAUAUUGCUCUAAAAACAGCCUUCUAAUCUUGGUUCGCUAGUUAUUUCAGCUUUGCGCAACGUCACGAUAAAUUCCAUAUCUUGACGUGAAAGUAUCGGAAUCAGGUUUUGUUUUUUGCAUUGGAAAGUAGAAUUGCAAAUUUACGUCUCACGCAGAUACCACAAUUAGGUUGCAUACGAAUCAUCCCAUAUAUGCUCUAAAAACAGCCUUCUAAUCUUGGUUUGCUCGUUAUUUCAACUUUGCGCAGCAUCACGAUAAAUUCCAUAUCUUGACGUGGAAGUAUCGGGAUCAGGUUCCAUUUUUUGCAUUGGAAAGUAGACUCACAGAUCUAGAUUAAGCGUGAAAUCCAUCAGCAUAUAACCUCUAUAUUUUCUCAGGUACUUUUCCAAAGUUUCAGCCUAAAUCUUGUAAUAUUCUAUUUCUCCUCAGAUUUUGGAUACUUCAUGAAUUUCAUCAUCUACUUCAAGUUUUGGGCCACAUCACUUCGGAAAUAUGUUGAAGGCCAAACUAGAGCAAUAUUCAAGGCACCACAAGUCUUUUUCUUGUAGAGAAAACUUUAUUGUUUAAGAGAUAAUAAAGAAUUCUUUUGCUUCAAGACGGCAUCUUCAAAGGACUCCAAAUAUGCAUUUAAGCUUCAUACUUUUCCUUCCUUUUUAUUUAGAGCCGUUCACAGUUUAAACUCAUGCGGGCCAGGAGUGACAUGCAGUUUAAGCUAGUACCUUAAGGAGAGUUUUGACUUGCAGUUUAGGCUCGUGCGUCGAGGAGAGUCUUGAUUUGCAUUUUAGGCUCAUGCAUCGAGGAGUAUUUUGUCUUGCAGUUUAGGCUCAUGAAUCGAGGAGCAUUUUUGACCUGUAGUUUAAGCUCGGGCAGCAAGGAGCAUUUUUGACUUGCAGUUUAAGCUCGUGCAGCAAGGAGCAUUUUUGACUUGCAGUUUAAGCUCGAGCAGCAAAAAGCAUUUUUAACUUGCAGUUUAAGCUCGUGCAGCAAGGAGCGGGCCAGGAGUGACAUGCAAUUUAUGAUCGUGCCUUAAGGAGCAUUUUGACUUGCAAUUUAGGCUCGUGCGUCGAGGAGCGUCUUGACUUGCAGUUUAGGCUCGUGCAUCGAGAAGCAUUUUGACUUGCAGUUUAGGCUCAUGCAUCGAGGAGUAUCAUGCAGUUUAUGCUCGUGCCUUAAGGAGCGUUUUGACUUAGGAACUUUAAUGACUUCUUUGGCUAACAACUCGUCAAGAAUUUUAGGAAUAUUAGAGUCGAGAAAAGGAUAUACCCUUGCUUGUAACUCUUUCAAGGUUGGUUGAUUUUUCACCUCUCACAUUUGUUGCUUUGGAGCUUCCUCUUUUAACUUUUUUCUUGUAGGGGACUUCGUAAAACUCACAGUUGUCAUCAUAGAUUCCCCAAUUUGAUUUUCAGAUAAGUCUUCAAAUUUCGUGACUUCCCUUCUAGGAUCAAAAAUAGGUGACGCUAUUCUAUGACUUGCAAUACUUAGCUCCAUGUCAUGAGCGUGCGUAGCUAAUUCUUCAAAAGUUUGAGGCUUAAUUCCUUGGAGGAUAUACACAAGGCCCCAAUGCAUCCCUUGAAUGCAAACUUCAACCGCAGAAGUUUCAGAAAGUUGAUCCUUGCAAUCAAAGCUCAAUGUUCGCCAGCGAUUUAUGUAAUCCAGUACAGGCUCAUCUUUACUUUGUCUUGUGUUUGUCAACUCCAUCAUACUGACUAUACGACGGAUACUGUAGAAAUGAUUUAGCAACUGACUUUCUAGUUGCUCCCAACAAUCAAUUGAUCCAGACUCCAAGUCUGUGUACCAAUCAAAAGUGUUGCCUUUCAAGGAGCGAAUAAAUUGCUUGACAAAAAAAUCGCCAUGUGUACCAGCACUGCUACAAGUCUCAACGAAAUGAGCAAUGUGUUGCCUUAGAUUUCCCUUUCCAUCAAAUUUUUAAAACGUUGGCGGUUGAUAUCCAAUUAGCAUCGAUAAGCUCUCGAUUUGCUUAGAAUACGACUUUGAGUAUCCUACAAAACUUUGUGACGGACCGUCAUAUUGUGCCUUGAUGGUGUUUGCAAUCAUAUCUUGCAAUUAUUGAACUGUUAGAGUAGCCACUUAAGCGGAUCGAUCAUCGCAGUAAUUGUCACUUGUCUUGAUGAGAGAUUCACCAUCAACUUUUUCUCGCGGUGUUAGAUUAUAAUAUGACUCUUCAGGAUUAUAGAGAUCUAACUUGCUCAUAAAUUGGGUGAUUUGAUGAUCUUUCUCAUCAACGAACUUCUUCAAGGCUUCAAUGGUUUGCUUCAUCAUUGCAAACUUCUCGUCCAAGAUAAUUGCAUCAACCAUAAGGGGGUUGACUUUUGUUGAAGUUGGAGAAUUCAUUAAUUUUUCUUAUUUUCCAAAGUUGCAGCCAGUUUCAGACGGAUCAUCUGAUAAAAUAGAUGCAAAGUUGCCCCCAGAGGUUGUAGUUACUGCCGAAAUUUGAGAUUUUCUCCUUUUUGUCAUCUCCAAAAUGGUGAAGUAUUGGGAUCCAUCCAAAGCACAAGCGUUGAGAUUGCAUCGAUUGAUGGGGCCAACAAGUUUGAUUUCAAUAGACGUGGCAGUAGUAGACUUCUUGCACGAAACUUCAUUGAUUUUUCUGAAGUCCAUUGUAGUAGUUGAAUAUAUGAUUUCCUUUGACUUGUAGGAGGAAGAGAUGAAGAGCAGAACUGGUCCCACUGGGCGUGCCAAUUUGUUUGCAACAAAUUUUCGUUAACGUUGAAAAUUAACUGCAAACAAAAAUAAAAUAAACAAAAAGAAUAAUUUUAUAUAAAUGAAUUUUGAGGGUACAAUUUCGUUAUUCUCUCGAUUUUUCUCUUCUAAGUUUUUUCCAUGAUUCGAGGGCCUUUGUAGCAUAAUUCUCAAAUGUAGGAUGAUUUGAGCCUCCUAUAAAUGUGUUUGGAUCUCCAGGAAUUGUCUGACAGCACUUCGUCUUGUCGAGUUGAUCUCUGGGCAAAACUCCGUUAGUCAAUUCGUUAAAGAGUUGUGUAGUCAAUGCAGAAGCUUCCUCCAAUGCUUGCAAAAUGUCCUCUUUUUUUCUUUUCUUUCCCCUAGAAUGUUAUGUUACUCCCCUAUUUAUAGUUGUAGGGGGUAGGCCUAGUUUCUUGUGAUUGGCCGAAACAUGUCACUUUGCCACUUGGUACCUUUUGACUGGUUGUUGAAUUUGAAUGAGAUUUUCACAUCAUUUGUACAUAUGGCGGUAUCUCAUUGGUCUUGGAUUUGACUGAGAUGCCACGUCACUUGAUGAGUUUGGGCUUCAAGGUGAGAUGGACCUUGAUGAAGAAUAAAAUAGGCUUAUUAUUUUUUUUUAGCCCAAAAUAAGUUUAAACCCAAUAACAUAUGGAUCAAAUUCAAAUUUUAUAUGAAUUUGAUCCAAUAAAUUUUAUGUGUCUACAGUUACAUCUUAGACAAAGGUUCUUGUGUUGCAUCUAACUUUGCUAGAUCCUUUUGAAAAGGUUUUGGAGAGUUCUUCAUGUCUGAUAUUGUUAAUAUCAGUUUUUUUUUUAAGAAUUGUAACUUAUGAUAUUGUUAAUAUCAUGCUUUUACAAUUUCUGUGUUUGUCCUUUAUUUGGAAACAUAAGAUCCAAAAAACGUGGUUGUUCUAAGUUAUAUAGGGCAGACUUUUGGUUGGUCAAGAAAUCACAUGUUCAGAAGAUGAGAGUAGCGGAAAAUGAGGAUGUUGAGAUGGAUGAGGAAUGAAAAUGUCCAGGAUAAGGUAAGAGUGGCUUUUAUGGUGAACAAGACGAGGGAGGCGAGACUCAGAUGGUUUGGGCAUGUGAAGAGGAAAUGCAUAGGUGCCCCGGGUGAGGAGGCAUGAGAGGUAGGCUAUGGUGGGUUUGAGGAGAGGUAGAGGUCAGCCGAAGAAGUAUUGGACAGAGGUGAUUAGGCAGGAUAUAACACUUUUGUAGCUUCCGAGUACAUGAUCCUAGAUAAGAGGAUAUGGAGGCCGAGGAUUAAGUUACAUGGUCUCCCGUAAUCAAAGAAAAAUGUUUGUUUCAUUAUGUUUGUGGAUGAAGCUACUCUAAAAACUCUUACAGCUGAAGGGAAGAUGCCAGACAGCAUGGGCUUUGUAGGUUUAUGGAAGAUCGUAGUGGUAAAGAAUCUUCCUUUUUCUGAUUUGCGGAGAGUGGGAAAGAUACCAAAUUUAUUGUCUCAUCGGCUCUUUACUUCCGCCAGCUUGAUCCCCUACUCAUCUUGGAGUACUUCCUGUGGCGAAAGGGUUACGAAUAUGCAAUUUCCAAUCACUAUGACAGGCAUUGUGUGUGGGAAGAAGUUGCCCAAAACAAGAAGCUUAGCAAGUACAAUCAUACUGUUAUUGAUACAAGCACGAUCAUGAAGAUGAACGUUUUUGAGUAUUUUGGAUGUAACCUCGGAGGUGUACGAGUUGAAGUGUUAAAAAGGGCUCCAAACCGCCCCUAAAACACUCCAUGGGUGCCUAUUUGCCUACUUGGUCAUUAAACGGCCUUUUUGUCAUUUUAUCUUUUUAUUUGUAAAGUACUAUAAAUAGAAGAAUAUAGGAUUUUAGUUAAUUAGUUUUUGUUGAAUAUUGUUGAAAGAACACAUCUCUUGAGAGAGAAGGUCUCUAGGCCUAAACUAGGACAUGAACAAGUGUGGAUUCACUUGUAAUUGUGUAUUGCUUGGAAACAUUGGUGCUUGAGCGGUGGAAUCCCUCUUGUGUCACGUAAGAGUGUGGUGUUGCUAUUGUAAGUCUUAGGGGUCCUUAGAUUUAAUACAUCUUUGGGUUCUUAACCUUGUAAUAGUGUAUGUCUCACUUCCUAUCUUAACAUAUCAUGUACUAGUUGUGUGUAGUCUAGUGAACCGUUUGGUUCUUGUUGUUCUUGUAAUCUUGUAACCGUUGGAUUGUUGUUAUUGUAGUGUUGUUCCUCUCGUUAUUGUUGUUUA
This is an RNA transcript of Capsicum annuum, 5775 nucleotides long. It is a transcript of the gene named probable hexosyltransferase MUCI70, with no coding region annotated. NCBI's taxonomy places the organism in Eukaryota, Viridiplantae, Streptophyta, Magnoliopsida, Solanales, Solanaceae. The transcript has 4 exons. The record is from RefSeq and is a predicted model, not a curated record.